ACGGAAAGGCCCUGCUUGCAGGGUACUCGAGUGGCGAACGGGUGAGUAACACGUGGGUGAUCUGCCCUGCACUUCGGGAUAAGCUUGGGAAACUGGGUCUAAUACCGGAUAGGAGCCAUCUUUAGUGUGGUGGUUGGAAAGUUUUUUCGGUGUAGGAUGAGCUCGCGGCCUAUCAGCUUGUUGGUGGGGUAAUGGCCUACCAAGGCGGCGACGGGUAGCCGGCCUGAGAGGGUGUACGGCCACAUUGGGACUGAGAUACGGCCCAGACUCCUACGGGAGGCAGCAGUGGGGAAUAUUGCACAAUGGGCGCAAGCCUGAUGCAGCGACGCCGCGUGGGGGAUGAAGGCCUUCGGGUUGUAAACUCCUUUCGCUAGGGACGAAGCUUUGUGUGACGGUACCUAGAUAAGAAGCACCGGCUAACUACGUGCCAGCAGCCGCGGUAAUACGUAGGGUGCGAGCGUUGUCCGGAAUUACUGGGCGUAAAGAGCUCGUAGGUGGUUUGUCGCGUCGUCUGUGAAAUUCUGGGGCUUAACUCCGGGCGUGCAGGCGAUACGGGCAUAACUUGAGUGCUGUAGGGGUAACUGGAAUUCCUGGUGUAGCGGUGAAAUGCGCAGAUAUCAGGAGGAACACCGAUGGCGAAGGCAGGUUAC
This 650-nucleotide ribosomal RNA is filed under the name uncultured Actinomycetales bacterium. RNAcentral describes it as "bacterial SSU rRNA". It matches the Rfam family "Bacterial small subunit ribosomal RNA", at positions 66 to 729 of the family's 1533-position model. The record is from RNAcentral. Lineage: Bacteria; Bacillati; Actinomycetota; Actinomycetes; Actinomycetales.